Pocillopora damicornis (cauliflower coral) is the source of this 757-nucleotide long non-coding RNA. NCBI's taxonomy places the organism in Eukaryota, Metazoa, Cnidaria, Anthozoa, Scleractinia, Pocilloporidae. The record is from RefSeq and is a predicted model, not a curated record.
UUUUCAGUGGUUUCCCACCUUCGUACGAAACAUAACGUCGUUAUUCUCUUGACAUAGCGAUUUUUAUGGCUAAUCAGUUAGUGCUUGCAGGGCAUGCUGAAAAUUAUAACCGAUAUUGCACCGUCUCGACAAAUUGUCGGUGAUUCUCAGCCGAUCCAAGGAUGGCGGGUGGACGAACAACUGAUGAUGCAAGAACAAAUAUAUCUCAACAUUGCGCAAGCAGUAAAAAAUGAAAUGGGCAUUGAGAUGACGAAUUUAAGCUCUGGCUAAGAAUAUGUGAAAGUCAUAUAUUUGAACUGCGGAUAAAGACCUGAAUAUGAAAGUGAUCCUCGCAGUAAUGUACACUACUUAAGCAGAAGUGAAAAUAAGGCCUGAAAAAAAAUUCAGGCCUGUACGGGAUUAAGCUCUGUUGUACUAAAAGGUGUCUUCCAAAACAAUGAACAUUAAUUUGGUAUGCAGUUGACGGAAAUGUAAUUACAAAGCUCUUUGGCUCGCUUACGCUUGAGGCUGAUUGAUUAUUCAACAGAAUUUUGUGGUUGUGUUUUCCUGGCCACCCUAUUAAACUUUCUGGAAGCUGACAAGAUACAGGUUCUCUUUUGAAUGAAUUAAUAAUUUGCUUAUAAUGACAGUCCCAGAAUUAAUUACAAAAAUUAAAGAUGUUGAACGAUGCUAGUGAUAAUUAAUAUUUUGGAAUAACGCAUUCGUUACGGUAUGAAAAUGAACUCAGCAUCAAAGAAUUAAAGUUUGUUUCCUCGUG